Molecule: long non-coding RNA, 800 nt
Filed under: Mytilus galloprovincialis (Mediterranean mussel)
Lineage: Eukaryota; Metazoa; Mollusca; Bivalvia; Mytilida; Mytilidae
Source: RNAcentral
AAUAGUUUAAAAUCUUUAAUAAAAAUAAAUAACUUAACAGACCUUUGGAGAUAUUCAAAUAAAAAUAAACAACAAUAUACUUGGCGAAGAAAAGAUAAAUCUCAGGCAAGUAGGAUUGAUAUGAUUCUGAUAGGUUCAGAUUUCAUACCACUAGUAGAAUGUUGUAAAAUUAAACCUGCAGUUAUUGAUUCUACGGAUCAUCAAAGUGUUUUUAUGAAGUUUAGAACUGGUGCAUCAGAAAAGGGAAGGGGGUACUGGAAAAUAAAUAAUUCUAUAUUAGAAGAUAAUGACUACAUACAAUUAGUUAAUAAAGAAAUGGAAAGCUGCUUUAUGGGUAAUCGUAAUUUAAAAAACCUUGGUUUAGCAUGGGAUAUAUUUAAAAUAAAGGUAAGGGAGGCAACUAUAGCUUAUUGUAAAUCUAAAGCAAAAUUUACAAGAGAAAACUUACGAACUCUUGAAAAAAAAUUAGAAAUAAAAUUGAAAAUUAGAGAUGAACAAGAAUCUGAGAAUAACGUUUUAGAUAAAGAUAUUGAAGAACUUGAAAAUAAUAUUGCCAAAAUUUAUGAACAAAAGCUAAAGGUGCUCAAAUAAGAUCACGAGAGAAAUGGGUUGAAUUUGGGGAAAAAAUAACUCGUACUUUUUAGGUUUAGAAAAACAGAGACAGGUAAAAAAGUCAAUCAAUAAAUUAAAAGGGGAAAAUGGUGAGAUUUUAACGGAUCAAAGUGAUAUACUUUGUAGUAUUAGAGAAUACUAUAAAAAGUUAUACUCGACGCAAAGCCCUGAUAAAACAUCAAGCGACA